CUACGGGAGGCAGCAGUGGGGAAUAUUGGGCAAUGGGCGCAAGCCUGACCCAGCAACGCCGCGUGAGGGAAGAAGGUCUUCGGAUUGUAAACCUCUGUCCUAUGGGACGAAAAAAAUGACGGUACCAUAGGAGGAAGCUCCGGCUAACUACGUGCCAGCAGCCGCGGUAAUACGUAGGGAGCUAGCGUUGUCCGGAAUUACUGGGCGUAAAGGGUGCGUAGGCGGCGAUGCAAGUCAGAUGUGAAAUCCCCGGGCUCAACUCGGGUUCUGCAUUUGAAACUGCAUUGCUUGAGUGCAGGAGAGGAAAGCGGAAUUCCUAGUGUAGCGGUGAAAUGCGUAGAUAUUAGGAAGAACACCAGUGGCGAAGGCGGCUUUCUGGACUGUAACUGACGCUGAGGCACGAAAGCGUGGGGAGCAAACAGGAUUAGAAACCCUGGUAGUCCG
Molecule: ribosomal RNA, 444 nt
Filed under: uncultured bacterium
Lineage: Bacteria
Description: bacterial SSU rRNA
Rfam family: Bacterial small subunit ribosomal RNA
Source: RNAcentral